CAGAUAUUAACCUUGAUACAGACAUCUGGAGUCUGAAUGAUCAAGAUAGCAAUGCAAUUAUAUUGCCAGACAA
Molecule: long non-coding RNA, 73 nt
Organism: Nicotiana attenuata
Lineage: Eukaryota; Viridiplantae; Streptophyta; Magnoliopsida; Solanales; Solanaceae
Exons: 2
Source: RefSeq, a predicted model, not a curated record